RNAcentral lists this ribosomal RNA (711 nucleotides) under Absidia sp. ERP-2017. Its description in RNAcentral is "partial 28S ribosomal RNA". It matches the Rfam family "Eukaryotic large subunit ribosomal RNA", at positions 13 to 620 of the family's 3401-position model. The record is from RNAcentral. Lineage: Eukaryota; Fungi; Mucoromycota; Mucoromycetes; Mucorales; Cunninghamellaceae.
AGGCGGGAUUACCCGCUGAACUUAAGCAUAUCAAUAAGCGGAGGAAAAGAAAAUAACAAUGAUUCCCCUAGUAACGGCGAGUGAACAGGGAAAAGCUCAAAGUUGGAACCUCCUGGCCCUAGGUCUGGCGGAUUGUAAACUAAAGCUCUCGAGUAGUUCGGCUAGCCUGGUAAAAAAGUUCUCUGGAAAGGGACGACAUGGAGGGUGAAAUCCCCGUCUUUGGCCAGAGCAUAGUCCAACGUUUGCUUGGAAGUGAAGAGUCAGGUUGUUUGGUAUUGCAGCCUAAAGCUGGAGGUAAAUCUCUCCUAAAGCUAAAUAUUGACGAAAGACCGAUAGCGAACAAGUACCGUGAGGGAAAGAUGAAAAGCACUUUGAAAAGAGGGUCAAAAAGUACGUGAAAUUGCUGAAAGGGAACCGUAUGAAAUCAGCCUGUCUCUUUGGUAAUCAACCUGGAAUUCGUUCUGGGUGCACUUGCCAGUGAGUCAGCCUGCGACAAUUUGGUUUGGGGGAAAAAAUCAGGGGGAAUGUGGCAUCCGCUUCGGUCGUUGGGUUAUAGCCCUUUGAAAAAUACCCUGGACUGGAUUGAGGAAUGCAACAAAGCCUUUGGGAUUAACUGUGGGGCCCUUGGCUUUUCCCUUGGAAAAAAUCCUUGCUAGCCGUUGUUGUCUUUUACGGCCGGGUCAACUCCCCCACGUUUUCAUUUUUCGUCCU